Long non-coding RNA from Piliocolobus tephrosceles (Ugandan red Colobus), 1469 nucleotides. RefSeq lists it as uncharacterized. Lineage: Eukaryota; Metazoa; Chordata; Mammalia; Primates; Cercopithecidae. The record is from RefSeq and is a predicted model, not a curated record. The transcript is spliced from 5 exons.
GCUGGCUGCGCGUGUGCAGAGCUCGCACAAAAGGCCUUACUUAGGUUGCGCAGGCGCCCGCUGGCCAGAGUCGCAGAGGGUCCGCGUUUGCAGUCCAGCGACCCCGUGGGUGCUGUUUUUGCGAGGACUGUUUGUCCUCAUAACUCUGGGAGGGCCACAGGGACCUUGGCGAGCUGCGGGCUGCCAUCCAGAGCCGUGAGUGGUUCGCUGAAUCUCCGCACCGCCGCUGAAGCUUGCAGGCUGGCCGCCUCCGCUGUGUGAGAAGUCGGAGGAGGUGGAGCGGAAGCGGCCGCCGCAAUUUCCUUUCCUCCACGUUGGCUCUCAGCCUUCCCCAAGGUCCGGGGUGCCGACAGCUGCUGUUCAAGACAGCUUUGGGGGUGCGGUCGCUGGACGAGAAGGUGUUGGGUGUUGGAGUCGCCGGGGAGGGUGCAUCCGCCCGGUUUUUGUUCCGUGUGGGGGCGGUGCGGGCCGGGGGGCACCGCGGAGGCGGAGGACAGCUUAAUUGGCCCUCUCAGGUCUGGUCCUCUUCCCUGCCUUGCAUUUUUGUUUCAACGCCGGACCGCGUAUAAGAGACCAUGAUGUUGGACACCGAAGGUGGAAAGGGGAUUCGUGGUGAAGGUCUGGGGCUUGCCCUGGUCUUGCUCGGCAGAUGAAGUCCAGAGGUUUUUUUCCGACUGCAAAAUUCAAAAUGGGGAAGAAGGUAUAACAGCACUGGCAGAAGAGCUGGCUUUGAGAGGAUGAGGCGUGAUGGUUAUGGUGGAGGGUAUGGAGGCUAGGACGAUUACAAUGGCUAUAAUGAUGGCUAUGGAUUUGGGUUAGAUUUGGAAGAGGAAUGUCUGAUCACAGAUACAGGGAUGGUGGCUGUACUUUCCAGAGCACAACAGGACACUGUAUGCAUGCGUGGAUUACAUUACAGAGCUACUGACAAUGAGACAUGCAUGGAUUACCUUACAGAGCUCCUGAGAAUGACAUUUAUAAUUUUUUUUCACCGCUCAAUCCUGAGAGAGUACACAUUGAAAUUGGUCCUGAUGGCAGAGUAACUGGUGAAGCAGAUGUCGAGUUUGCAACUCAUGAAGAUGCUGUGGCAGCUGUGUCAAAAGACAAAGCAAAUAUGCGGAAGUGUGAUUGAGCAUUUGUGGGUUCUUAACAGGUGAUUAUGUGACUAACGUUUACAAUUGAGAAAUAGAAAAAUAAUAUAUGAGAAGUUUCCUCUCCAGUAAUAGAUUAAUUCUUGGAGGAUGGGGGGCAGUGUGUUGAAGCAGGUUUGGAUUUUUAAAAUUAGUAUAACAAGGAUUUGUGAUACGCACAUCUUGAAGUAUAUAUCCUUAAUUGACAAGAUAGAUGAAUAUGUAAAGGCUAGAGUUUGGAGUUAAAGUAGAUGACCUAAGAGAAGUAGCUAGAAUUUUCUUUGCCAAAGUAUUUGAAGUUCACAGAUCUGCUUGUUUAAAAACUUUAUAGAGGCCGGGCGC